This 476-nucleotide ribosomal RNA is filed under the name uncultured bacterium. RNAcentral's name for it is "partial 16S ribosomal RNA". It matches the Rfam family "Bacterial small subunit ribosomal RNA", at positions 29 to 523 of the family's 1533-position model. The record is from RNAcentral.
AGUGAACGCUGGCGGCGUGCUUAACACAUGCAAGUCGAACGGAUGAAAUAAGCUUGCUUAUUUCGUUAGUGGCGCACGGGUGAGUAAUGUAUAGCUAACCUGCCCUUUAGUGGGGGACAACAGUUGGAAACGGCUGCUAAAACCCCAUACUCCGGUAUAAUAUAAGUUGUAUCGGGAAAGAUUUAUUGCUAAAGGAUGGGGCUGUAUUGUAUCAGCUAGUUGGUAGGGUAAUGGCCUACCAAGGCUAUGACGCAUACCUGGUCUGAGAGGAUGAUCAGGCACACUGGAACUGAGACACGGUCCAGACUCCUACGGGAGGCAGCAGUGGGGAAUAUUGCACAAUGGGGGAAACCCUGAUGCAGCAACGCCGCGUGGAGGAUGACGCAUUUCGGUGUGUAAACUCCUUUUAUAAGGGAAGAUAAUGACGGUACCUUAUGAAUAAGCACCGGCUAACUCCGUGCCAGCCGCCGCAGUAA